GGACCCGCACAAGCAGCGGAGCAUGUGGUUUAAUUCGAAGCAACGCGAAGAACCUUACCAGGGCUUGACAUCCUGCCGGCGGAGGGGGUAAUGCCUCUCUUUCUACGGACGGCAGAGACAGGUGGUGCAUGGUUGUCGUCAGCUCGUGUCGUGAGAUGUUGGGUUAAGUCCCGCAACGAGCGCAACCCUUGCCUUUAGUUGCCAUCGCGUAAUGGCGGGCACUCUAAAGGGACUGCCGGGGAUAACUCGGAGGAAGGUGGGGAUGACGUCAAAUCAUCAUGCCCCUUAUGUUCUGGGCUACACACGUGCUACAAUGGCCGGUACAACGGGACGCGAAGCCGCGAGGCGGAGCAAAUCACGAAAACCGGUCCCAGUUCGGAUCGCAGGCUGAAACCCGCCUGCGUGAAGUCGGAGUUGCUAGUAAUCGCAGAUCAGAAUGCUGCGGUGAAUACG
RNAcentral lists this ribosomal RNA (453 nucleotides) under uncultured Eubacteriales bacterium. RNAcentral's name for it is "bacterial SSU rRNA". It matches the Rfam family "Bacterial small subunit ribosomal RNA", at positions 917 to 1370 of the family's 1533-position model. Lineage: Bacteria; Bacillati; Bacillota; Clostridia; Eubacteriales. The record is from RNAcentral.